This 253-nucleotide ribosomal RNA is filed under the name uncultured bacterium. Its description in RNAcentral is "partial 16S ribosomal RNA". It matches the Rfam family "Bacterial small subunit ribosomal RNA", at positions 524 to 776 of the family's 1533-position model. The record is from RNAcentral.
UACGUAGGGGGCUAGCGUUGUCCGGAAUCAUUGGGCGUAAAGCGCGUGUAGGCGGCAAGGCAAGUCGGGUGUGAAAGCCCUGGGCUCAACCCAGGAAGUGCAUUCGAUACUGCCAAGCUAGAGUCCCGGAGAGGGUGGUGGAACUCUCGGUGUAGAGGUGAAAUUCGUAGAUAUCGAGAAGAACACCGGUGGCGAAGGCGGCCACCUGGACGGUGACUGACGCUGAGACGCGAAAGCGUGGGGAGCAAACAGG